CGCGCACUUAAUUAGGUAUCUCUGCCAAUCGAGGCUCUGAUGCUCAGUGAAUGUGCGCAAAGCAAAGAAGAUGUGCUUAGUUGGACUUGCUACAUUCCAUGCGAGCCACACGGUACAAUUUCGACAGCG
This 129-nucleotide small nucleolar RNA is filed under the name Drosophila sechellia. RNAcentral's name for it is "snoRNA:GM27526". Lineage: Eukaryota; Metazoa; Arthropoda; Insecta; Diptera; Drosophilidae. The record is from RNAcentral.